This 1258-nucleotide ribosomal RNA is filed under the name Candidatus Phytoplasma fraxini. RNAcentral's name for it is "bacterial SSU rRNA". It matches the Rfam family "Bacterial small subunit ribosomal RNA", at positions 155 to 1409 of the family's 1533-position model. Lineage: Bacteria; Bacillati; Mycoplasmatota; Mollicutes; Acholeplasmatales; Acholeplasmataceae. The record is from RNAcentral.
AACAGUUGCUAAGACUGGAUAGGAAAUAAAAAGGCAUCUUUUUAUUUUUAAAAGACCUUUUUCGGAAGGUAUGCUUAAAGAUGAGCUUGCGCCACAUUAGUUUGUUGGUGGGGUAAUGGCCUACCAAGACGAUGAUGUGUAGCUGGACUGAGAGGUCGAACAGCCACAUUGGGACUGAGACACGGCCCAAACUCCUACGGGAGGCAGCAGUAGGGAAUUUUCGGCAAUGGAGGAAACUCUGACCGAGCAACGCCGCGUGAACGAUGAAGUAUUUCGGUAUGUAAAGUUCUUUUAUUGAAGAAGAAAAAAUAGUGGAAAAACUAUCUUGACGUUAUUCAAUGAAUAAGCCCCGGCUAACUAUGUGCCAGCAGCCGCGGUAAGACAUAGGGGGCGAGCGUUAUCCGGAAUUAUUGGGCGUAAAGGGUGCGUAGGCGGUUAGGAAAGUCUAUAAUUUAAUUUCAGUGCUUAACGCUGUCUUGUUAUAGAAACUACCUUGACUAGAGUUAGAUAGAGGCAAGCGGAAUUCCAUGUGUAGCGGUAAAAUGUGUAAAUAUAUGGAGGAACACCAGAAGCGUAGGCGGCUUGCUGGGUCUUGACUGACGCUGAGGCACGAAAGCGUGGGUAGCAAACAGGAUUAGAUACCCUGGUAGUCCACGCCGUAAACGAUGAGUACUAAGUGUCGGGAUAAAACUCGGUACUGAAGUUAACACAUUAAGUACUCCGCCUGAGUAGUACGUACGCAAGUAUGAAACUUAAAGGAAUUGACGGGACUCCGCACAAGCGGUGGAUCAUGUUGUUUAAUUCGAAGAUACACGAAAAAUCUUACCAGGUCUUGACAUGCUCUGCAAAGCUAUAGAAAUAUAGUGGAGGUUAUCAGGGACACAGGUGGUGCAUGGUUGUCGUCAGUUCGUGUCGUGAGAUGUUAGGUUAAGUCCUAAAACGAGCGCAACCCUUGUCGUUAGUUACCAGCACGUAAUGGUGGGCACUUUAACGAGACUGCCAAUUAAACAUUGGAGGAAGGUGAGGAUUACGUCAAAUCAUCAUGCCCCUUAUGAUCUGGGCUACAAACGUGAUACAAUGGCUGUUACAAAGAGUAGCUGAAGCGCGAGUUUUUAGCCAAUCUCAAAAAAGCAGUCUCAGUUCGGAUUGAAGUCUGUAACUCGACUUCAUGAAGUUGGAAUCGCUAGUAAUCGCGAAUCAGCAUGUCGCGGUGAAUACGUUCUCGGGGUUUGUACACACCACCCGUCAAACCACGAAA